Molecule: ribosomal RNA, 476 nt
Filed under: uncultured Glomus
Lineage: Eukaryota; Fungi; Glomeromycota; Glomeromycetes; Glomerales; Glomeraceae
Description: SSU rRNA
Rfam family: Eukaryotic small subunit ribosomal RNA
Source: RNAcentral
AGCAGCCGCGGUAAUUCCAGCUCCAAUAGCGUAUAUUAAAGUUGUUGCAGUUAAAAAGCUCGUAGUUGAAUUUCGGGAUCGACGGGUCGGUCGCGCCUCUGGUGUGUACUGGCCCUGUCGGUUUCUCCCUUCUGACGAACCACGAUGUCAUUAAUUUGGUGUCGUGGGAAAUCAGGACUGUUACUUUGAAAAAAUUAGAGUGUUUAAAGCAGGCAUUCGCUUGAAUACAUUAGCAUGGAAUAAUGAAAUAGGACGUUUUGAUCUUAUUUUGUUGGUUUUCUAAGAUCGACGUAAUGAUUAAUAGGGAUAGUUGGGGGCAUUAGUAUUCAAUUGUCAGAGGUGAAAUUCUUGGAUUUAUUGAAGACUAACUACUGCGAAAGCAUUUGCCAAGGAUGUUUUCAUUAAUCAAGAACGAAAGUUAGGGGAUCGAAGACGAUCAGAUACCGUCGCAGUCUUAGCCAUAAACUAUGCCGACU